AGUAGUCAUAUGCUUCUUUCAAGGACUAAGCCAUGCAAGUGUGGGAGUACACUGUGCAACAACCUGCCCCCCGAAUACUGUUGGUCUGCGGAUGGCUCAUUAAAUUCAGCAAACAUCUGACCAGCAGUCGUACCUGUAGGUCUUCUUGUGGUGUCCCCAAUGCCUCUGCUUCAUCCUGUGCCUUCAGGCGCGCGAGAGAGAGAGCAUCAUGUGUCGGGAGGAGAGGCCCUGCAGGGUCCACGUUGUGGAUACCCGGGCUAACUGUCUGGCUAAUACAUGCAAAGUCUACGGCCCUUCCCAGGCCUCUCUGGGCCGGGACGGGCGGCGGUUGGUCGACAAUGAAAGACAGGUGCCUCGUGUGUAGAGAGCAGCAUGCAUCGGCGAGGCAGACCCACUGAGUAUGUGUGCAUGGGAUCCAUUCACUUGGGUGUCCAUGCCACCACAUGCCUUUUAUCAGUUACAGCAGUUGUGCGCGACGCGUUUCACUGCAUGCUGGAUGAAUUUCUGCCCUAUCAUGCUUUCGACUGUGGUGUAGUGGACCAUCGUGGCUGUCACGGGUAACGGGGAAUGAGGGUUUGAUUCCGGAGAGGGAGCCCUAGAAACGGCUACCACCGUCAAGGCGGGCAGCAGGCGCGCAAAUUGCCCACUGUUGGCACAGUACCAAACGAGGCAGCGACGAGAAAUGACAACACCGCCAGUCCAACGCGACGGGUGGUGUUUUGUAGUGGAUGCUAUAUGUAAAUGCAGCAGUGAGUUUCAACUGGAGGGCAAGUCUGGUGCCAGCAGCCGCGGUAAUUCCAGCUCCAGUAGCGUAUACUGACGUUGCUGCUGUUAAAAAGCUCGUAGUUGAUUGCAGAGUGGAUGGUGCUGUAGGCAAGGGAACACGCCCCGCAGGGGUUUUCAUGCCGGGUCGAUUCUUUCGUGCGCGGGGUGUCUCUCCUGUGGAACGUGGUAGCCCAUCGUGUGGGGAUUUGGUCUAGGCGUGCAGGGUGGUGCUUUUCAGUGCUACCCUGCCGUUUCAGUUCUGACCCCAUGCUCCCUGCAGUUGUCCCUCCACUCGCCAAACACGGAAUUGGGUUCCUCUGCAGUUGCCCUCCUUGAGUGGUGGGUGGCUGCGUGCAGCCGCACAAAAUGUGUGCUUGCUGUGAACACUCCGCGUCGCAGUGUAUACACUCCGCAGCGAUGUGUGUUUGGAGGAUGUCCGUGGCCGUUACCGUGAACAAAACAGCGUGUUCAAGGCAGGCGACUAUUUGUCAGUAUGCUGGAGCAUGGCAUAACAAGGAAUCGUCCAGCGGGUGCCUUUCUCAAGGCUCUGCCAAUCUACCUGACACUGUGUGUGUAUACGUUCUUAGCAGCCCGUCCUGGGCAACACGGGGCCAUCCCAGGGCUUGCAACAGGUGUCUGCCGUCCACCGAUCUUUGCCGGCCACGUGUCGGCAGUCGGCUGCGUCGCUCUCACUCUGUGCAGUCCAUGUGGUUGGCUUUCUGAUCGGAACCGAGGGGACGGUUCAGUGCCGUACGUACUGUACCGCGAGGGGUGAAAUCCUUAGACCGGUGCAUGACGAACCGAGGCGAAGGCGUUCCUGGCAGGGACACGUCUGUCAAUCAAGAACGAGAGUUUGGGGAUCGAAGAUGAUCAGAUACCGCCGUAGUCCAAUGACCGUAAGCUGUGCCAGCUUGGUGUCAGGAGUGUGUUCCCAUCCAUUAUGGUACGUCUCUUCUGGCACCGUCCCCCCACAUCGAGAAAUCCAAAAGCGUGUGGGUUCAGGGGGGAGUACGACCGCAAGGCUGAAACUUAAAGGAAUUGACGGAAUGACACCACAAGACGUGGAGUUUGCGGCUUAAUUUGACUCAACACGGGGAACGUUACCGGGUCAGGACACAGCAAGGAUGGACAGAUUGAGGGCUCUUUCUUGAUCCUCUGGAGGGUGGUGCAUGGCCGUUCCUGGUUGGUGGAGUGAUUUGUCUGGUUGAUUCCGAUAACGAGCGAGAUCUCUGCCUUUCAAUAGUGAUGGGUCUCGUUUCUGUAGGAGGGUGCAAUGAGGUGGGACUUGCGCGGUGGGCUUGCUCAGCGUGUGGUGCCACUGUAAUUUGCUUAGCCGUUUCCGAGAGUGCCCACAGCUUCUCUUAGGGGCCGCGUGCGCUGCCAAGCACACGUAAGCCAGAGCCGACAGCAGGUCUGUGAUGCUCCUAAAUGUCCCGGGCCGCACGCGUACUACACUGGUGUGUCCAACAAGUCUGAUUUCGAACCCCUUUGCAUCUUGCACUGGGUCCUCUCCCGACGGGGACGGGGUAAGCUUGGGAGAACAUGCCGUGAUGGGGAUGGAUGAUUGCAACUAUUUGCCUUGAACGAGGAAUGCCUAGUAGGCGCAGGUCAUCAGCCUGCACCGACUAUGUCCCUGCCAUUUGUACACACCGCCCGUCGUUGCUACCGAUGGUGUGAGGAUAGAGCCACCAGGAGGAAUGCGUAGGUCCAGUGGGAGACCACCUCCCGCCAGCCGCCGUGAGCCGAAUUCUGGCAAUGUCCUCCCGCUAGAGGACGCAAAAGUCGUAACAAGGUUACUGUAGGUGAACC
Molecule: ribosomal RNA, 2574 nt
Filed under: Dinema litorale
Lineage: Eukaryota; Euglenozoa; Anisonemea; Anisonemida; Anisonematidae
Description: partial small subunit ribosomal RNA
Rfam family: Eukaryotic small subunit ribosomal RNA
Source: RNAcentral